Molecule: ribosomal RNA, 253 nt
Filed under: uncultured bacterium
Lineage: Bacteria
Description: partial 16S ribosomal RNA
Rfam family: Bacterial small subunit ribosomal RNA
Source: RNAcentral
UACGAAGGGGGCUAGCGUUGCUCGGAAUCACUGGGCGUAAAGGGUGCGUAGGCGGGUCUUUAAGUCAGGGGUGAAAUCCUGGAGCUCAACUCCAGAACUGCCUUCGAUACUGAGAGUCUCGAGUCCGGGAGAGGUGAGUGGAACUGCGAGUGUAGAGGUGAAAUUCGUAGAUAUUCGCAAGAACACCAGUGGCGAAGGCGGCUCACUGGCCCGGUACUGACGCUGAGGUGCGAAAGCGUGGGGAGCAAACAGG